CAGCCGCCGCGGUAAUACGAAGGGGGCUGGCGUUGUUCGGAUUUACUGGGCGUAAAGCGCACGUAGGCGGACUUUUAAGUCAGGGGUGAAAUCCCGGGGCUCAACCCCGGAACUGCCUUUGAUACUGGAAGUCUUGAGUAUGGUAGAGGUGAGUGGAAUUCCGAGUGUAGAGGUGAAAUUCGUAGAUAUUCGGAAGAACACCAGUGGCGAAGGCGGCUCACUGGACUGGUAUUGACGCUGAGGUGCGAAAGCGUGGGGAGCAAACAGGAUUAGAUACCCCUGUAGUCCCUGUCUCUUAUAC
This 301-nucleotide ribosomal RNA is filed under the name uncultured bacterium. RNAcentral's name for it is "partial 16S ribosomal RNA". It matches the Rfam family "Bacterial small subunit ribosomal RNA", at positions 509 to 807 of the family's 1533-position model. The record is from RNAcentral.